GGAAUAUUGCGCAAUGGGGGAAACCCUGACGCAGCAACGCCGCGUGGAGGAUGACACUUUUCGGAGCGUAAACUCCUUUUCUUAGGGAAGAAUUCUGACGGUACCUAAGGAAUAAGCACCGGCUAACUCCGUGCCAGCAGCCGCGGUAAUACGGAGGGUGCAAGCGUUACUCGGAAUCACUGGGCGUAAAGGGCGCGUAGGCGGAUUAUCAAGUCUCUUGUGAAAUCUAAUGGCUUAACCAUUAAACUGCUUGGGAAACUGAUAGUCUAGAGUGAGGGAGAGGCAGAUGGAAUUGGUGGUGUAGGGGUAAAAUCCGUAGAUAUCACCAAGAAUACCCAUUGCGAAGGCGAUCUGCUGGAACUCAACUGACGCUAAGGCGCGAAAGCGUGGGGAGCAAAC
RNAcentral lists this ribosomal RNA (399 nucleotides) under Campylobacter hyointestinalis subsp. hyointestinalis. RNAcentral describes it as "bacterial SSU rRNA". It matches the Rfam family "Bacterial small subunit ribosomal RNA", at positions 358 to 773 of the family's 1533-position model. Lineage: Bacteria; Pseudomonadati; Campylobacterota; Epsilonproteobacteria; Campylobacterales; Campylobacteraceae. The record is from RNAcentral.